This 832-nucleotide ribosomal RNA is filed under the name uncultured bacterium. RNAcentral's name for it is "bacterial SSU rRNA". It matches the Rfam family "Bacterial small subunit ribosomal RNA", at positions 72 to 897 of the family's 1533-position model. The record is from RNAcentral.
AGGGGGAGCAAUCCCCCCUAGAGCGGCGGACUGGUGAGUAACGCGUGGGUGACCUACCUUGGGGAUGGGGACAGCCGCUAGAAAUAGCGGGUAAUACCGAAUAAUGUUGUCUUGCUUUGGCGAGGCAAAGAAAGGGGCUUUGGCCCCGCCCUAAGACGGGCCCGCGUCCCAUUAGCUGGUUGGCGGGGCAAAGGCCCACCAAGGCGAUGAUGGGUAGCCGGCCUGAGAGGGUGAACGGCCACACUGGGACUGAGAUACGGCCCAGACUCCUACGGGAGGCAGCAGCUAAGAAUAUUCCGCAAUGGGCGAAAGCCUGACGGAGCGACGCCGCGUGUGCGAAGAAGGCCGAAAGGUUGUAAAGCACUUUUGCGGGCGAAGAAUAAGGGGGGCAGGGAAUGGCCCCGCGAUGACGUUAGCCCGCGAAUAAGCCCCGGCUAAUUACGUGCCAGCAGCCGCGGUAACACGUAAGGGGCGAGCGUUGUUCGGAAUUAUUGGGCGUAAAGGGCGCGUAGGCGGUCAAGCAAGUCUGGCGUGAAAGGCAAGGGCUCAACCCUUGGACUGCGCUGGAAACUGCGGGACUAGAGUCAUGGAGGGGGAGCUGGAAUUCCUGGUGUAGGGGUGAAAUCUGUAGAUAUCAGGAAGAACACCGGUGGCGAAGGCGAGCUUCUAGCCAAUGACUGACGCUGAGGCGCGAAAGUGCGGGGAGCAAACAGGAUUAGAUACCCUGGUAGUCCGCACUAUAAACGAUGUGCACUAGGUGUUGGGCCGAGCGGUUCAGUGCCGGAGCGAACGCGAUAAGUGCACCGCCUGGGGAGUAUGCCCGCAAGGGUGA